Molecule: ribosomal RNA, 439 nt
Filed under: uncultured bacterium
Lineage: Bacteria
Description: partial 16S ribosomal RNA
Rfam family: Bacterial small subunit ribosomal RNA
Source: RNAcentral
CCUACGGGUGGCAGCAGUGGGGAAUAUUGCACAAUGGGCGAAAGCCUGAUGCAGCAACGCCGCGUGAGUGAUGAAGGCCUUCUGGUCGUAAAACUCUGUUCUCAGGGAAGAUAAUGACGGUACGUGAGGGGUAAGCACCGUCUAACUACGUGCAAGCAGCCGCGGUAAUACGUCGGGGGCUAGCGUUAUCCGGAUGUACUGGGCGUAAAGGGUGCGUAGGCGGUCUUUCAAGUCAGGGGUGAAAGGCUGGGGCUCAACCGUAGCAAGCCAUUGAAACUGGGAGACUUGAGUGCACGAGAGGAGAGUGGAAUGCCUAGUGUAGCGGUGAAAUGCGUAGAUAUCAGGAGGAACACCAGUUGCGAAGGCGGCUCUCUGGACUGUAACUGACGCUGAGGCUCGAAAGUGUGGGGAGCAAACAGGAUUAGAUACCCUUGUAGUC